AACGAACGCUGGCGGCAUGCCUAACACAUGCAAGUCGAACGAGACCUUCGGGUCUAGUGGCGCACGGGUGCGUAACGCGUGGGAACCUGCCUUUAGGUUCGGAAUAACUCAGAGAAAUUUGAGCUAAUACCGGAGGAUGUCUUCGGACCAAAGAUUUAUCGCCUUUAGAUGGGCCCGCGUUGGAUUAGCUAGUUGGUGGGGUAAAGGCCUACCAAGGCGACGAUCCCUAGCUGGUCUGAGAGGAUGAUCCGCCACACUGGGACUGAGCCACGGCCCAGACUCCUACGGGAGGCAGCAGUGGGGAAUAUUGGACAAUGGGCGAAAGCCUGAUCCAGCAAUGCCGCGUGAGUGAUGAAGGCCUUAGGGUUGUAAAGCGCUUUUACCCGAGCUGAUAAUGACAGUAUCGGGAGAAUAAGCUCCGGCUAACUCCGUG
Molecule: ribosomal RNA, 433 nt
Filed under: uncultured bacterium
Lineage: Bacteria
Description: partial 16S ribosomal RNA
Rfam family: Bacterial small subunit ribosomal RNA
Source: RNAcentral